ACGGAGGGUGCAAGCGUUAUUCGGAAUAACUGGGCGUAAAGCGCAGGCAGGCGGGUAGACAAGUCUGAUGUGAAAUCCCCGGGCUUAACCUGGGAAGCGCAUUUGAAACUGUUUGACUUGAGUCCUGGAGAGGAAGGGGGAAUUCCAGGUGUAGCGGUGGAAUGCGUAGAGAUCUGGAGGAAUACCGGUGGCGUAGGCGGCCCUCUGGACGGAAACUGACGCUGAGGUGCGAAAGCGUGGGGAGCAAACAG
This 251-nucleotide ribosomal RNA is filed under the name uncultured prokaryote. RNAcentral describes it as "partial 16S rRNA". It matches the Rfam family "Bacterial small subunit ribosomal RNA", at positions 525 to 775 of the family's 1533-position model. The record is from RNAcentral.